CCUCCUUAACGAUAAAUUCGCGUUUUAAACGCCCACACGAGUAAUCAAAUAUUAAGAAAGACCAUAUUGUUAUGUAAAAUUAUUGGUAUGUAAUUUUCUAGUGUAUGCAUAUGCAUACAUAAGAUCACUGCAAUUAAAAAGUAAUUAAUAAUAUUUUAUUAAGUUACUCUCAAAAAAAUAAUUAAGUAACCUUUUUUAAGGUUAUAUGAUCAAGUAAAGGAAGAGCACAAGGCGGAUGCCUUGGCAGCAUAAGGCGAUGAAGGACGUAAUAACCUGCGAUAAGCCUCGGGGAGCUGGUAAAUAAGCUUCGAUCCGAGGAUUUCCGAAUGGGGA
RNAcentral lists this unclassified non-coding RNA (333 nucleotides) under uncultured SAR86 cluster bacterium. RNAcentral describes it as "partial 16S-23S ribosomal RNA intergenic spacer". The stretch from base 208 to 333 matches the Rfam family "Bacterial large subunit ribosomal RNA", at positions 1 to 124 of the family's 2925-position model. The record is from RNAcentral. Lineage: Bacteria; Pseudomonadati; Pseudomonadota; Gammaproteobacteria.